RNAcentral lists this ribosomal RNA (460 nucleotides) under uncultured bacterium. Its description in RNAcentral is "partial 16S ribosomal RNA". It matches the Rfam family "Bacterial small subunit ribosomal RNA", at positions 338 to 795 of the family's 1533-position model. The record is from RNAcentral.
CCUACGGGGGGCAGCAGUGAGGAAUAUUGGUCAAUGGCCGCGAGCCUGAACCAGCCAAGUCGCGUGAAGGACGACUGCCCUACGGGUUGUAAACUUCUUUUAUAAGGGAAUAAAGUGAGCUACGUGUGCCAUUUUGCCUGUACUUUAUGAAUAAGGAUCGGCUAACUCCGUGCCAGCAGCCGCGGUAAUACGGAGGAUCCGAGCGUUAUCCGGAUUUAUUGGGUUUAAAGGGAGCGUAGAUGGGUUGUUAAGUCAGUUGUGAAAGUUUGCGGCUCAACCGUAAAAUUGCAAUUGAUACUGGCAGCCUUGAGUACAGUUGAGGUAGGCGGAAUUCGUGGUGUAGCGGUGAAAUGCUUAGAUAUCACGAAGAACUCCGAUUGCGAAGGCAGCUUACUAAACUGCCACUGACAUUGAUGCUCGAAAGUGUGGGUAUCAAACAGGAUUAGAUACCCUUGUAGUC